This 483-nucleotide ribosomal RNA is filed under the name uncultured bacterium. RNAcentral describes it as "partial 16S ribosomal RNA". It matches the Rfam family "Bacterial small subunit ribosomal RNA", at positions 28 to 505 of the family's 1533-position model. The record is from RNAcentral.
GAUGAACGCUAGCUACAGGCUUAACACAUGCAAGUCGAGGGGCAGCAUGACCUAGCAAUAGGUUGAUGGCGACCGGCGCACGGGUGAGUAACACGUAUCCAACCUGCCGAUUAUUCCGGGAUAGCCUUUCGAAAGAAAGAUUAAUACUGGAUAGCAUAACGAGAAGGCAUCUUCUUGUUAUUAAAGAAUUUCGAUAAUCGAUGGGGAUGCGUUCCAUUAGUUUGUUGGCGGGGUAACGGCCCACCAAGACAUCGAUGGAUAGGGGUUCUGAGAGGAAGGUCCCCCACAUUGGAACUGAGACACGGUCCAAACUCCUACGGGAGGCAGCAGUGAGGAAUAUUGGUCAAUGGACGAGAGUCUGAACCAGCCAAGUAGCGUGAAGGAUGACUGCCCUAUGGGUUGUAAACUUCUUUUAUAUGGGAAUAAAGUGGGCCACGUGUGGCUUUUUGUAUGUACCAUACGAAUAAGGAUCGGCUAACUCCG